Pangasianodon hypophthalmus (striped catfish) is the source of this 568-nucleotide long non-coding RNA. RefSeq lists it as uncharacterized. The transcript is spliced from 5 exons. The record is from RefSeq and is a predicted model, not a curated record. NCBI's taxonomy places the organism in Eukaryota, Metazoa, Chordata, Actinopteri, Siluriformes, Pangasiidae.
CAGUGGCGACAACGUAGAAAAAGAAGGUGGCACACAUGACCGCCACAUACCACUUCUUAUCUUCAGCUGCGCCAGUUAACCUGAGGAAGAACAGUGAGACAUAAGAGUAGUGAGGUUGACUUUACUCCGGAUGUUAACACGCUACAGUCCUGUCAUGUCUGCUGUGUUGAGUAAGUGAUGCCUCAUGCUGCCUGUUAGGUUCCACAGACAUCUGGGAAAAAGCUGUGUAUGAAACAGCAAGCCAGAGGAUGACUCCUGAUGAAGUUUACUAAUGAGCUGAUGAGGUGAUGAGGUGUGCUGGCAGACCUGUUUCAUUUGGCAGUUUUGCCAUUGAUCAUGACUCACCAUGCAGGAAGGAAUCAGUGGGGAUGAAGAAGGCAGCUGCGACCAUCCCGAGGAGUAAAACGAACUUCAAGAACCAGAAUCUGUACUGUUAAAAAACAAGAAAAGGCCUCUGUGAUCAAUGAAGAAAUUCCUUCUGAUUGAUUUGUCAUGUUACUGACCCAUUGUGGAUGAGAGCUCUGAAAUCCUGGCUGGACUUCACAUCCACGAGAAGAAGGGCCAUCAU